Molecule: ribosomal RNA, 202 nt
Filed under: Nitrososphaeria archaeon
Lineage: Archaea; Thermoproteati; Nitrososphaerota; Nitrososphaeria
Description: partial 16S ribosomal RNA
Rfam family: Archaeal small subunit ribosomal RNA
Source: RNAcentral
GGAAUCCCUAGUAACCGCGCGUUAAAACCGCGCGGUGAAUACGUCCCUGCUCCUUGCACACACUGCCCGUCGCUCCACCCGAGCUGGGCCUGGGUGAGGCCCGCUCCUUCGUGGGCGGGUCGAACCACGGGCCCGGUGAGGGGGGAGAAGUCGUAACAAGGUGGCCGUACGGGAACGUGCGGCCGGAUCACCUCCUACCGCC